RNAcentral lists this transfer RNA (73 nucleotides) under Micromonospora musae. Its description in RNAcentral is "Micromonospora sp. MS1-9 tRNA-Pro". It matches the Rfam family "tRNA". Rfam says of the family: Transfer RNA (tRNA) molecules are approximately 80 nucleotides in length. Their secondary structure includes four short double-helical elements and three loops (D, anti-codon, and T loops). Further hydrogen bonds mediate the characteristic L-shaped molecular structure. tRNAs have two regions of fundamental functional importance: the anti-codon, which is responsible for specific mRNA codon recognition, and the 3' end, to which the tRNAs corresponding amino acid is attached (by aminoacyl-tRNA synthetases). tRNAs cope with the degeneracy of the genetic code in two manners: having more than one tRNA (with a specific anti-codon) for a particular amino acid; and 'wobble' base-pairing, i.e. permitting non-standard base-pairing at the 3rd anti-codon position. The record is from RNAcentral. Lineage: Bacteria; Bacillati; Actinomycetota; Actinomycetes; Micromonosporales; Micromonosporaceae.
CGGGAUGUGGCGCAGUUGGGAGCGCGCUCGCUUCGGGAGCGAGAAGUCGUCGGUUCAAAUCCGGCCAGCCCGA